UACGAAGGGGGCUAGCGUUGCUCGGAUUUACUGGGCGUAAAGGGCGCGUAGGCGGACGAUCAAGUUGGGGGUGAAAGCCCGGGGCUCAACCUCGGAAUUGCCUUCAAAACUGAUCGUCUUGAGUAUGAGAGAGGUGUGUGGAACUCCGAGUGUAGAGGUGAAAUUCGUAGAUAUUCGGAAGAACACCAGUGGCGAAGGCGACACACUGGCUCAUUACUGACGCUGAGGCGCGAAAGCGUGGGGAGCAAACAGG
RNAcentral lists this ribosomal RNA (253 nucleotides) under uncultured bacterium. RNAcentral describes it as "partial 16S ribosomal RNA". It matches the Rfam family "Bacterial small subunit ribosomal RNA", at positions 524 to 776 of the family's 1533-position model. The record is from RNAcentral.